This 385-nucleotide ribosomal RNA is filed under the name Ozopemon sp. 156 AIC-2011. Its description in RNAcentral is "eukaryotic LSU rRNA". It matches the Rfam family "Eukaryotic large subunit ribosomal RNA", at positions 582 to 887 of the family's 3401-position model. Lineage: Eukaryota; Metazoa; Arthropoda; Insecta; Coleoptera; Curculionidae. The record is from RNAcentral.
CGAUGUUCUCGAAAUUUUUNAAAACCUGAUCAAUCUGCGACGCUAUAGCUUUGGGUAAUUUCAGGACCCGUCUUGAAACACGGACCAAGGAGUCUAGCAUGUACGCAAGUCAUUGGGAUUAUUUUUUUUGAAUAAUCAAAACCUAAAGGCAUAAUGAAAGUAACAAAAUCGAUCUCUCUCUCUUUCUUUCAUCCUAAUUGCGGGGUGAUUGAAAUGUUUGAUCGAUAACGGGAAGAUGAAUAUUUUUCCGCAUUCCCGGGGCGUUUCAUUUACAUUGUGUAAAGAGGCGCACCAAGAGCGUACACGCUGGGACCCGAAAGAUGGUGAACUAUGCCUGGUCAGGACGAAGUCAGGGGAAACCCUGAUGGAGGUCCGUAGCGAUUCU